RNAcentral lists this long non-coding RNA (6393 nucleotides) under Equus asinus (donkey). RNAcentral describes it as "lncRNA (ENSEASG00005031960.1)". The record is from RNAcentral. Lineage: Eukaryota; Metazoa; Chordata; Mammalia; Perissodactyla; Equidae.
CUACCUCCCAGAGACCAGAGAAUGUACCGUCAGAUGCUACGCCUAGGCUGCUUGGCUCUCCGGCGUGGGUGACAGGAGUGGGCCCAGUGUGCUUGACGUGGUGGAGUCACCCAAGAUCCGGCAGGGUGGAGGUCAGGGAAUGAAAAUGAGGCCUUCGGGGCAGGUUCUCUCACUCUCCUGCCUCUCCCCCUGCCCUCUAGCCCCUGGGAGGCCUCAGCCACUUCACUCCACCAACGCCCCCUUCGUAAGAACCUUCCACCCAGUCCAACUCUGUUAUCUGUAACAGACUCCUAAAUAUGCCGCGUGCAUUCCACAUUUGGCUAAUGCCAUUCCCUUCAAUUUACCUUUACUUUCUCUACAAAUGUCUCAGACCCUGGCUGCUCUCCCAGGCUCAGAUCAAAUCCAUUCCACUUCCACAAAACUGUCUUGGUCUCCAGCCCCAUAAGCCCCUGAAAUCCCAAACAUUUACUAACCUGUUACAUUCCCCAGUUGGCCUUUAGGUAUUCUGCACUCCACAGCAGUCCUACAACAAUGCAGGUAUGCAUGCAUUCGCCCAUCCAUCCAUGCAUCCACCCAUCCAUGCAACUACUCACCCAUCCAUGCAUCCACUCAAUAAAUAUUAUCGAUCACCUGCCAUAUGCCGGGUACUGUCCCACCACUUCCCUUGUCCAUUCUCUUCCCAUCUCCAAGAUGACUAUUUCCCACCUCCUACUCUCCCUCAAACCUCUACCACUCACUCCCUCAGCAAUCUCACCCAGUCUCAUAGCAUUAGGUACCACCUUAGUCACUGAGACCCGCCCUGACCUCUCUCCUACACUCCAGGUUCCAACACCCAAUACCAUCUCCACUUGGGUGUCUAACGGGCAACUUAGUGUAGCCAAAUCAGAACUCCAGAUCCCACAAAAAACCCUAUGGCCCGCUUCUCCCAGUUUUUCCCAUCUCAGUAAAUGAUUCACCCAUCUGUGCAAGCCACAAACUUCGGAGUCAUCUUUGUCUCCUCUUCGUUUUGCUCCAUCCCGCCAUGUCCAUCCAGCAGCAGACUAUUGGCUCUACCUUCAAAACCUGCUGCCUCUCUGCCCUCCACACUACAGCGCUAGUCCAAGCCCCUGUGGUUCCAGUGGGACAAGACAGCCUCCAGUAGGUCGACCUGCUGCCACUCUUGGCUCUGUAUAUUCUUUGCACAACAGCCAGAGUGAUAGUUUUAAAACACAAGACCACGAGAGAACCCUCCAAAGGCCGCUGAACAUCCCCUAUUGGAUUUCCUGCUACGUCCUCAGGGCAUACAAGCCCUCCAUGAUCCGGCCUCUGCCCGACUUCACCUGUUGCCACUCGCCUCCACCCUCACUGGCUUGCUUGAAAAUUUGUCAAAUGCACCAACACAGGACCUCUGCCCUGGUGGCCCUUCUGCCUGAAAAGCCGCCGCUCCCCUCAAUGACUUACCCGCCUGCCUGGCACUCCUCUCCCUCCUACCCCUUCAGAGCACUUAUCACAACCUAACAUUGCUUUAAAUAUUUAUUUUGUUCAUUUUUCACCUGUUUCCUCCAUCAGAAGAUCAACUCCACAAAAGCAAGGAUUUGGCUAUUUGGUUUGAUGCUGUAUUCCCAAUGCUAAAAUAAUGCAGAGACAGGGUCGGGCCCAGUGGCUGAGUGGUUAAGUUCACGCACUCCACUUCGGCGGCUUAGGGUUUGCCAGUUCAGAUCCCGGGUGUGGAGCUAUACGCCACUCAUCAAGUCAUGCUAUGGCAGCAUCCCACAUACGAAGCGGAGGAGGAUUGGCACAGAUGUUAGCUCAGGGCCAAUCUUCCUCUCCAAAAUAAUAAUAACAAUAAUGCUGGUACAUAGCAAGGACUUGAUAAAUAUCUACUGAAUGAAUGAAUGAGUCCUGCCUAGUUGUUUCCUUACUAGAUAUGUCUGAUCUCCCCUCACCUGAGGUUGAGCAGCCUAUGACCAGGGGCAGCAUCGUGUUCAUCCUUUCACCUUCCUACGCCUCCUGGCCCGGGAGCCAGUUACAAGAGCAGGUACAGGCCUGGGAAUGACAAUCAGGCUGCACGAUCAAUGGGAAGUGCUGCCUGGCAUGAUGUGACGAGAAGGACCCGGAGGCCAGUCUAGGUAUAGCAUUAUCGAUUUCUGAUGUGGGCCAAGGGCCGGAGGUGGGAAAUAAAAGUGCAGUCUUUGGGGCUGCCAAGCCUGUUAACCCGGGGAUCCUUGAGGCUGGAGAGAAAGCUGAAUUGGCAGGGAAGGGCAGGCCAGUCCUGGCCAGUCCUCAGGUUUGGGAAGCUAAGGAGAUAGGCCACUAACCCACAGGGCAGCAGAUGCCAGUGGGCCCCAGGAUACCAGGUGAUGCUGCCCCAUCAGCCCUCCGCCCCUGGAGAGACCCUCAAGCCCACCAUCUCGGCCAUUACUCCACAGCACUUGUGGCUCAUGCAAGACACAGAAGCUGAGGGGAGCAGCCACUGAGCUAAAUGUCUCUCAGACCUGGGGACAGAGGCAGAAAUGGCCCCACAUAACUUAGAGUGGGCCACUUUGGCCUUUUGAUGUGACUCUUGGCAUCUGAUAAGAGUUCCACAGACACUUAUCCAGGAGGUCUAGCCACUCCUUCCUGCAGGAGACCAGCCUGGAUGUAACAGGAGGGGCAGGCCCUGGGGUGUUCUGCACAGCCAUGCUAUCCCCUUGCUCCCAGCCCCCCACCAGGCACAGAAACAGUCAAGCUGCUGGGGCACAUGCCCUACAUCCCCCUAACCUGGGGCCACCACACUGCCACCUGCUCCUCCCUGCCAGCAGGGUGAACUCCCAGAAGGCCCUCCCUUGCAGUCUCCAUCCUGGCCUGCAGCUCCCUGGCUGGACAGUGCUCCGGCCAGCAGGGGGGCUCGUGGUCACUUGGGGACAGGAAGGCUGAAACCCCUUUUCCUGUUCUUCUCUUUCAAAGUUGGCAGACCUGACCUCUUUCAUAACAUUAUUUUAGUGACCGAAGCACUUUUGCAUCUGAGAUUUUCCGCAACCACUUUGUGGAGCUGGUCUCAAUGGCCCCACUUUCAGGAAAUGGAGGUAUUUGCUCCCUUCUCGCAGUGUAAGCAGCGGCAGGAAAGCCAAAGGCCCCGUUUCCACGCCCAGAGGAGCGAGCCCUCCCGCACCCACGACAGAGCUAGGAAGAAAGAACCAGCCAUGCAAAAGCCAAAAAAGGAACCCUUUCUCUCUCCAGAGAUUAUGAAAUCAAAGAGCAUUUUGUUGCUUCUUGGAAAUUACUCUCCUUAUGACUUGGAGGCCACACAAUUCAACAGGGCUUCCAUCAUCAUCAUCAUCAUCAUUAUUAAAACAUUUGGUUUAGUUCUCGCCUCCUUUUCGAACUUUCACACAGAGAACACAAGCGUUUACCUGCGCUCACCCAGGACCGGACGAGCAGGUCGCGCGGGCUUCCAGCCCCCUCCUUCCCGGGGCUUGGCUGCAAGACUCCCGCAACAUCUCGAAAUCCCCCCAGAUCUGCGCGGUCACUGUGGGAAGGAGGCCGGCUCUGACAAGCCCAGGCAAGCCCAGGCAGAGCCCGCUUCUGGUCCUCCCUCCUGCGCUCACCACCCGGGCCCGGGGAGGGAGAAGCCUCUCGCCCGCCCAGAUCCGGGGAGUCAGCUCGCACCCGGGACGGGGCGCCGGCAUCUCCUCCACCAGAAAAGAAAAAGGGCCAGGUGGGGAAAAGAGGAGCGGGUGGGGGCGGCGCCAGCUCGCGCGGGAUUGGGGUGGCGGCGCAGCGGGCGCCGGGCUCACGUCGGGGGAUGGGGUGUGCUCACUGCCGGAGGCCAGGGCCGCCGCGUCGGGGCGCGCUGCAGGGCAAUGGCGCGCGCCUGGCCGUGGAGCAGGUUUCCCGGGCACAGGGUCCGGGCCCCGUGCCCCUCCACCGCCGCCGCCUGCCCGGGCUGGCGCUUCCCUGGCCAGAGCGCCGACUUUGCGCAGCGCCCCUCGCCUCCGCCCCCCGCCGAGUCCCGGGGCGCGCCUCCCAGAGCCGAUGUCCGGGGCUCCACGGCCAUCGCGACUCUUGCGCAGGCUCCUCGCCUGUCCGCGGCGGGACCGAAGCCCAGGCGGGCCGAGGGGGUCCUGUAAGAAAACAAACGGAAUCCACGGGGACGCUCGCCGCGACGCCCAGCCCCCGGGCCUCUCCCCGGGAACAGGGAAGAAGAAACCUGCGUCCCGGGCGCGGGUGACGGACGUGUCCCGGGUCUGGACCUGUCGUCUCCACGACAUUGUCAGCCUGGAGAGCUCAAAGGUCCCACGCAGCCCCAGAUUCAAGGAGAUGAGAAAGGACUUCUAGUGCCAGAAACGGGCACCCCACGCGGCCACCGCCUGCCGGCCCGGCGCCCCGCCCCCACUCACCGCGCCCCCAAGUUCCGGCGCUGCGGGCCGCUGGGGUGACACCGUUCCGUGCGGCCCGGGGCGCAGGAGCAGGCGUGGGGCACGGCCGAGGCGCGGCGCUGGGGAGCCGGGUGCUCCAGGCGGGGUCCGUGAGCUGGGCAGGGCCCUGGCGAAGCGCCCCGCACCCGCCUAAAGGUUCCCGGAAACAAAAACGCGGACGCGGGUCCCAAACUUGAAGUCGCAGGAAGGCACCCGGCAGCGCGGGAGAUGCGCACCUCCCAUUUCUCGCCGUUUCCGCGCUACCGUGCGCGUGGAGCCGGGCGCCCUCGGGUUUGGUGGGGACGCACGUGCAGGGGCGGCCCUGCAGACCCCGCCCCCCGCCCCGCUGUGCGGAGAGGGGUCUCCAGCCGUCAUCCCGCCCCCAAGCAUCACAGAUCCCACCCAGUCCGACCUGGUCGGGACUUCGGGACCUUUGGGAGACAAACCACCACGCAGCCCGCAGCGCCCAGGUACGAUGGGGCAAGGAGUCCCCGGGUCUCCCUCUGCUCCAGGUGUUUGUGCCCUCGGGGUUGUUGUAGGACAGAAACCGCUUCAUCAGGAGCAGACCCUCCUCGCAGACGCACACCUACACACACUCGCGGGAGUCUGCGGGAUGCGCCGGCGACCCGGCAGGCACGGUCUCCUCCACACGGACAGAACUGAAGGGCGAAGGCCUCCUUGGCCUCAGGAGGCAAGGGCUCCCUGCAGGGAGAGCGGAAACUCAUUCGUCCUGCACUGAGAGAAAACGGUCCUGAGAGGAGGACUGGAAAGGGCUGUUGCCAGAUGUGUAAUCCCAUUUGGGCACACCGGAGGGAGCGAGUGGAGGCCAGGUGUGAGCUGCCGCAUCUGACACAUUAGGAUCCCGAAGCUCACAGGGAUGAAUCUGUGUGGAGCUCGUGUUUCCCAGACUUUUCCAGGGAUUCUAGAACAGUCCUAGAGAAGGAGAGAGCCAGCCGGCAGAGCCACCAAAAUGCCUUGACCUGGACAGCUAAAAAGAACCCAUCCAGCACGUGGACAUACAUACGCCCCUGACUCACAAGCCGGAGAGCAACGGAGGUAGCGUGGACAAGCCUCAACUUCUGCCCCCCGCGGGGCGCUGCACCUGCGUCCCCAGACCCAGCGGUGAAACAGGGCACCCAGGAGGCAUUCAGGUCUUAAUUUAACCACAGAGACCCGAGGAGUCCUGCUUCCCAGUCAACCUACCAAUGGAUCGCGUCCAAAAAUGUGAAUGACAAAAAGGAAAACAAUGUCCUGGGAUUAGAUCAUGGUGAUGGUUGCACAAUUUCGUGAAUAUAAUAAAUCCCACUGAAUUGUACACUUUUUAAUGGUAGAACUUAUGGCAUGUGAGUUAUAUCUCAGGAGAAAACAAACAAACAAAAAGGAGCCCCCAUUCCUCCUUACUGGCUAGACAUACUCGGCAUGAAGCCGGCAGGACGGAAAGCCCUGCACCUUGGUCAACGCUACCUCCCUCACUUAGAAGAUGGAAUCCUGGUUGUGGGUGACUCAGGAGGGUCAGCAUCCUAUGGCUGCAGUGGUUUUCGGCCAGGGCCCUGAGGCCAAAGCAGCCUGUCUCUUAGGCCCUUGAAGAUGGGACUGUAGCUACAGGGCCUCGGCCCAGACCCUGCAGAAGAAAGGGGUCUUGCGGGCUGGGGCUUUCUUCAUUGUGGCCCCAACAUCAGAGACUUACUCCGUGGGGUGAUGGUGUACGGGCCAGUGUGUAUUAUGUGGCAUGGGUGGGGGGGUGCUCCAGGGAGCCCACCUAGCACUGACAAAGCCCUGUGUUGGCAGGCGCAAUUUUCAAGGCCCCAUCUCUGAAGAAGGAAGCCCAGCUUGGUGAAGAAAUCACCACCGGAUUAAAAAUAACAAAUAAAUGUAAAGAGUCAAAAUGCUGUAUAAAGGGGAGAAUUGCUUUGAAGUAUUUCCUCAUUGCUAUGCUGACUAGACAUUUUAACUAAACAUAGCUUUAAGGUUCUGUUUAUUUUCCAGCUCCUAAAGUCACUCUUUGGCUCAUGCAUCA